GAAUUUAAGCAUAUUAUUAAGCGGAGGAAAAGAAACUAACAAGGAUUCCCUCAGUAACGGCGAGUGAAGCGGGAAGAGCUCAAAGUGAAAAUCGUGUGCCCAGGCGGGUGCUCGAGUUGUAAUCUGAAGACGUAUGGUCUGCGCGCGACCUGGGUAUAAGUCCUUUGGAACAGGGCGUCAUAGAGGGUGAGAACCCCGUUUAUGACCCGGAGCUCGCCGCGUACGAUAUGCGUUCAACGAGUCGCGUUGCUUGGGAUCGCAACGCUAAAUGGGUGGUAAAUCUCAUCUAAAGCUAAAUACUGGCGAGAGACCGAUAGCGAACAAGUAGCGUGAGCGAAAGAUGAAAAGAACUUUGAAAAGAGAGUCAAACAGUACUUGAAAUCGCUAGGAGGGAAGUUAUGGAAACUAGUUUCAGCGUCACUUUGCUGCCUGCCGUAGAAGCCCCGCGGGAAGGUGGAUGCUUGCGUCUUUACAGCCCGCGGUGGUGACGGUGGGGUGGAGUGAGGAACGAGAAGGCACUUCAAGGCACCCGUGCAUGCUUCUCAUGCGUCGCUGGACAGCAAAGCUGUGCUGAGGCGGGUGGGCGGUAUUUGCGCGGGGUUCGCUAUUCGUGCCUUGGCGAUGCUGAAGAAAUGGUUUUCAUUGACCCGUCUUGAAACACGGACCAAGGAGUCUAACAUAUAUGCGAGUAUUUGGGUGUGUCAAACCCUGGUGCGCAAUGAAAGUGAAGGGUCCUCGUGGCCUGAGGUAGGAACGGCUCUAAGCCGGGCACUAUCGACCGAUCGCCGCUUGCGGUAGAUUUGAGUAAGAGCAUAUCUGUUGGGACCCGAAAGAUGGUGAUCUAUGCCUGAACAGGGUGAAGCCAGGGGAAACUCUGGUGGAAGCUCGUAGCGGUACUGACGUGCAAAUCGUUCGUCUGAUUUGGGUAUAGGGGCGAAAGACUAAUCGAACCAUCUAGUAGCUGGUUCCCUCCGAAGUUUCCCUCAGGAUAGCUGGAGCUCAUGUAUCAGUUUUAUCAGGUAAAGCUAAUGAUUAGAGGUACCGGGGAUGAAACAUCCUUGACCUAUUCUCAAACUUUAAAUAGGUAAGAACCCCGUGGUUACUUGAUUGAACCCGGGGAUGGAAUGAACGAGUUCUUAGUGGGCCAUUUUUGGUAAGCAGAACUGGCGAUGCGGGAUCAUCCGGACGCUUGAGUUAAGGUGUCCAAGUGUUGGUUCAUCCAGAUUACGCAAAAGGUGUUGGUUGAUAGAGACAGUAGGACGGUGGUCAUGGAAGUCGAAAUCCGCUAAGGAGUGUGUAACAACUCACCUACCGAAUCAAUUAGCCCUGAAAAUGGAUGACGCUGAAACCAACCACCUAAACUCAGCCACCAGCGCAAGUGCGAGGCACUGGUGAGUAGGAGGGCGUGGGGGUCGUGACGAAGGCUAGGGCGCGAGCCCGGCUGAAACGGCCCCUAGUGCAGAUCUUGGUGGUAGUAGCAAAUAUUCAAAUGAGAACUUUGAAGACUGAAGUGGAGAAAGGUUCCAUGUGAACAGCAAUUGGACAUGGGUUAGUCGAUGGUAAGAGAUAGGGUAACUCCGUUACAAAGAGGGCUUUUCUGAGCCCCUCCUAUCGAAAGGGAACCGGGUUAAUAUUCCCGGACCAGGACGUGGAUAUUGUGUGGCAACACAAGUGAACUCGGAGACGCCAGCGGGAGUUCCGGGAAGAGUUAUCUUUUCUUUUUAACCGCCCAGCGACCCUGGAAGCUGUUUAGCAGGAGAUAGGGUGGCACGGCGGGGAAAGCGCCGCAUCUCUGCGGCGUCCGGUGCACUCCCGACGGUCCGUGAAAAUCCGAGGGAAAG
This 1841-nucleotide ribosomal RNA is filed under the name Paulinella chromatophora. RNAcentral describes it as "eukaryotic LSU rRNA". It matches the Rfam family "Eukaryotic large subunit ribosomal RNA", at positions 30 to 1823 of the family's 3401-position model. Lineage: Eukaryota; Cercozoa; Imbricatea; Euglyphida; Paulinellidae. The record is from RNAcentral.